Non-coding RNA from Aegilops tauschii subsp. strangulata, 2327 nucleotides. The record is from RefSeq and is a predicted model, not a curated record. NCBI's taxonomy places the organism in Eukaryota, Viridiplantae, Streptophyta, Magnoliopsida, Poales, Poaceae.
CCCUCCCGCUCCUGCCCGCUCUCGCCUCUGUCCCCCCGUCCCGUGUCUCCUCUCCUCCCCUCCCGCCGACCACCUACCUACCGCCGGAUCUCCCCGUCGAGCUCGCUCCUCGCCGUCGCUCUUACAGGCGCCACGCGCUCCCGUUCUCCUUCCCCAGCCCGGCGACGGUGGAGGCGCGCGGCCAUCCCUCCCCGGGCGGUGGUGGAGGAAGGGCGGGGCCUCCACGGUUGUCGGCGACCUCCUCCCCGACCAUCGACCCCUUUGUUAGGGCGCGGGGGUGGUUGUCGAUGGUGUCUCUCUCACCCGUUCUUCUCCUUGCACGUCCUCUCCACGUCGUUGGGCAGCGCCGCUGCUGGCUCUCUCCUCGGGGCUGGGCUGGGGCGUCCUAGGGAGGGAUUGGGCUGCGAUGGAUUUCCUCUCCACAUCGUUGGACAGCGCCGCCGCUGGCUCUCUCCUCAGGGCUGGGCAGGGGCGUCCUAGGGAGGGAUUGGGCUGCGAUGGAUUUCGUGCGGCACGAGGCUGGCUGAGGUCUAUUGCUGCUGUCGUUUCUUUCUCCACGAAGAUUCCGAUGAUUUGUGCUCCGGCUCUGCUUCCAGUGAGUGCGCUGAUUCCUACUAGCGGCCCCUCCUCUUCUCCAUGAGCAAGCACUCCGGCCAUAGCCUCGUCUCUUCUCCUCUCCGGUCGCCGUGGAGCGUUGGAGCCCUUGAAGCAUUCGAAUGGAACAUGUAUUGGCAUGCUCGGUUCAUCUUAGGUGAGUGUGAAUGUUGAAGUGUGAUUUCGUAGCAUUAGGCUUGCAGUUUAAGAGAUCUUCCAAUCAAUUUUUUUUGGAUUUUGGGGAUGUGUGCAGUGGAAAACUAUAGAUAAAUAAGAAUUCUUUGUUCUUCUUUCAUGUUGGAGAGAGUGACAGUACCUACAUUCCUGUUAGUGGGCUGUAUAUAUUCUAUAACUUCUUGCUGUUUUCUUUCUUACGGUAAUUUUUUUGACAUUUGUAACAGCAAAAUGAUAUGUCAAGAUGCUCUGUUUUUAUGGCACUUUUAGAGAUUUCUCCUCAUAUUAUAGAUGGUGUGCGAUAUACUUCUUGACAUAUCCCUAGGCAUCUUGACAUAUCCCUGGACAGGUUCUCAUGUUCAGCGCAUCCAGUUUGGUUGAUUAUUUUGGGAGGCUUAUUUUGGAAAGGCUUUGAGAGGCCGUCUGAAUCACCACCUUGUGUUAAUAGAAUUAUACAUAGUUUUGUACAGCCAUUUCAUUUUGCAUAGGGCUACAAAGUACAAUCAAACAAUCUGCAGCUUAGCAGUACUGUAUUUCCUGGAUUCUCCAAUUUGGGGUUUGAGCAUUGAGGCGUUGAAUAUGUCUAUAUGAACUGUAGUUAUAUAUUACCUGCUACUCGAGCUGGCUCUCUCUCUCUCCGACGUCUUGGUUUGCAGGCCGCUGCGUGGUGAGGUACUGACUAAGGAGCGCGAAUCGCCAGCACCACGUACCAGAUGAUGCCGUCAAGGUCGGCGUCAUAGUGACUGUCGAUGACUUGCAGAUGAUUGGUGGGCAGAAUUAAAGAGGGAUUACACAAGUAAGGAGAUACACCUGAGCAAGCAGCUAGACCCAUGGACAUAUACUCUGCAUGGGAAGUUGCCUACUUGGUAUGAGCUUCAGACGCAUCGGCAUCGCUACACCUUUCUAUGUUCUUUUGUUAAUAGUCUGCCCAUAAUUAUAACAGCGAAAUGCAUGAAUGUAUAUAGCUUUGCACCAAGCCACUUUACUUUAUCUAUGAUCUGUCAUUUUUGUGAGUCGCAGAUGAUUUUGGCAUUGAUAUUCUCAUGCAAGCCAUCCUAUCUUUGCAAGCCUACAGAUAGAAUACACUCAGGGCACCACAUGUUUAAGUUGUCACUCCUAUGUUUAUAAGUUUAUAGGAAGCAAACAUUUUCAUUAUCUUUGGCACUUAUAUUUUCAUUAUAUUAACUUGUGCAGCGGAGUUUUAAAAUCAAAACGGGGCAAUUCUCUACUGUGACAAAGUGAAGAGAAAACUGAUGCAUCAAAUUAAUACAGAAAUUCAGUUCAUAUGAAGCAGAAGAAAGGCAUGCAGUACCUUACAUUGACAAUGAUUGUUAGCCCAUUGUGGUACUUCAAAUCUGAUAAAGAAUAUAUUUUAUGACCGAGACAUGGCAUUUGGAGAAUCUCAGUUCUAAUAUCUACAUGAAUCAACUUUUAUUUUGUCACGCUACUGAAUGUUCUGGUAUGGGACUAUCUAUUCUGUGUAGCUCUUAUAAGUAAUAAUGAAAUGAUCUAUAUGUAAAGUUUUCUUAUUUUAAUUAUAUUAUGUUGUUGAUGAUGCA